Molecule: long non-coding RNA, 448 nt
Filed under: Spirodela polyrhiza (greater duckweed)
Lineage: Eukaryota; Viridiplantae; Streptophyta; Magnoliopsida; Alismatales; Araceae
Description: long non-coding RNA (SPOL_LNC002384)
Source: RNAcentral
CCGCUUGGACUGCGAUGCUUCCUCUGAGAGAGUGAAGCUGGGAUGCCAGGAAUGGUGGGUGGAGGAUCUCUCCGCUCUGAGGAUCGAUCUGUACGAGAGAGUCGUCACUGCCAUGAGGAAAUCAGGGGUCAGAUCAGACAGCAUUGUGGCGUCGAUCAUCCACUAUGCGCAGAGCUAUCUCAAGGACAUCGGUAAGAAUAAUUCCUGCAAUGGCGGAUUGGUUCCUGCGGAAGAACACAGAGCGAUCGUGGAGACGCUGGUGACCCUACUGGUAUCGGAGGAGAUUUCCUCCGUCCCUCUCACCUUCCUGUUCGGAAUUCUGAGAAUGGCGAUCGUGGUGGAUGCGCCUCUCCCCUGCAGGCUCGAGCUCGAGAAGAGGAUCGGAUCCCAGCUGGAGAUGGUGACUCUGGAUGAUCUCCUCAUCCCUUCGCUGCAGACCUCCGAUUCC